ACCUGCAUUAUUUGACGUUACCUACAGAAGAAGCACCGGCUAACUCCGUGCCAGCAGCCGCGGUAAUACGGAGGGUGCGAGCGUUAAUCGGAAUUACUGGGCGUAAAGCGCAUGCAGGCGGCCUGUUAAGUCAGAUGUGAAAGACCCGGGGCGUUAACCUCGGAAUUGCAUUUGAAACUGGCAGGCUAGAGUCUUGUAGAGGGGGGUAGGAAUUUCAGGUGUAGCGGUGAAAUGCGUAGAGAUCUGAAGGAAUACCAGUGGCGAAGGCGGCCCCCUGGACAAAGACUGACGCUCAGAUGCGAAAGCGUGGGGAGCAAACAGGAUUAGAUACCCUGGUAG
This 339-nucleotide ribosomal RNA is filed under the name uncultured bacterium. RNAcentral describes it as "bacterial SSU rRNA". It matches the Rfam family "Bacterial small subunit ribosomal RNA", at positions 458 to 793 of the family's 1533-position model. The record is from RNAcentral.